This 306-nucleotide long non-coding RNA is filed under the name Equus caballus (horse). Its description in RNAcentral is "lncRNA (ENSECAG00000053271.1)". The record is from RNAcentral. Lineage: Eukaryota; Metazoa; Chordata; Mammalia; Perissodactyla; Equidae.
CGAGCCCGGCGGGGUCGUGGGGGUCGUGGGGCAGCAUGGCGGCGUCCAGGAGGCAGGUGUUUGUUGAAAAAGUGCUGAGGAGACUUUUUCCUAAAGUUCCGCAUGGCCAAGAAAAGGGGGCACCAAUGACUCUGGCCUCGGAAAUACCCCCUGAGAAAGUGGCGCCUGAGACGGUGACAGGCUGGAGCGCCCCUCCUUUGACAGGACACGCCUCUCCCUCUGCCGCUGUUGCUCCGUCCCAUCACUGACCCAGUUCGUGCAUCCACCCAGCCGGGCUCCUGGUUCCUCCUCUGUGUUGGUCUCCCU